GUUAGUCAAACCAUCCUCGUCUGUGUCGGGGAGGCGUUCUCCUCUAAUUCAAGCCACGAUCAGCAGUGGAAAUUCUGUUUGAGUUAAGAGGAAAUUGGAUGCGGGCUGAUCGCUUAAGUGUUUUAACAGAAAGGAGAAAACUCGUUUCUUUUAAUGCCCCAUUAAUCCAAAAUAUUACAUGUACGAAACACAGAGAGACCCAUUCUGCUUCUUUAUCUACAUCUUCUUCUAUUUGUUGUUUCCAGCUCAGCUGCGCAGCCUUUAGCCCCCUGUGGCUGCAGCCCGCAGUGGUGGUCUGGCCCUUCACAGCCUCGGUUCAGGUUCCUCACCAGACGAGGAAUAACGGCGGCUCUCCCAGGCUCCCGCUGGCUCGCCAUUUAGGCGAAAGAAAACUUCGCCGUCGGCUGCGUGAGUGUGGCUACGGCAACAUCUGGUGGUUCAAUCCAGAUGUGGGUCCAGAUUAUAAAACUGUCACAGAUUCCAGUUGAAACUCGUCAAGCUUUGAUCUUUCUCCUACGCCGUCCGCCGUCCACGUUUGCUGCUCUUCCUCCAGCACCAUGUUGACAUGACAACAGGGUCUGAGGCAGCUGAGGCCUCAACAGACGGACCGUUCAGGGUGAUCUCUUCAGGAGAUCUGCUCCUAAAUGGGUUUGUCUCCCACACUUCCAACACAGUUCUAAUCUGAUGAAGACAGAUGAGUCUGCAAUUGUCCCCCGACCAUUUGUCAUUGCGACGUGCGUUUUUGUUAUCAGCAGUGACAGAUUGCGCCACAUUUGGGAGCUCACUUCAAAGCAGAAGCUUCGCUCAAAGCAGUGUGAGCCCCUCAGAGUGGAAGCA
Molecule: long non-coding RNA, 837 nt
Filed under: Takifugu rubripes (torafugu)
Lineage: Eukaryota; Metazoa; Chordata; Actinopteri; Tetraodontiformes; Tetraodontidae
Description: lncRNA (ENSTRUG00000028259.1)
Source: RNAcentral